Molecule: ribosomal RNA, 1095 nt
Filed under: Triticum aestivum (bread wheat)
Lineage: Eukaryota; Viridiplantae; Streptophyta; Magnoliopsida; Poales; Poaceae
Description: partial small subunit ribosomal RNA
Source: RNAcentral
AUGAAAGUGUCCCCUUCAACAAAUGGGGCUGAUGAUAGAGGUCGGUCUCUACAGUCAAGUCAUGUUUUCGGUGUGCUCAGAUAUGGGGCUUACGGCGAUGGACGCCAUGAUGAUACACAGGUAUGCAUUUUCCAAGGCGUUGGCUGCAGCUUGCUCCUCAUAAAGAAGCUCAGCAGUGUUGUCUAUGGCCUUAUCUUUGACAAGAAGGCUAGCCAUGCCGCCGGAGGGCCAUCUAGGAUUAAGAAUGCCAAGAUCACUGUCAUACAAUUUCAGAUCUCACCGCCCAAGACUGAUAUUGAGAAGAGUGUUAUUGUGUCAAACUAUGCGCAGAUGGGCCGCAUCCUCCGCGAGGAGCAUAAUUACAUCCUAGGGAUGGUUAAGAAGAUCAAGGCAUUUGGAUGCAAUGUCCUCCAAAUCCAGAAGAGCAUCUUGCGUGAUGUGGUGACUGAGUUGUCGCUGCAUUAUCUCGCAAAGGCUAAGAUUAUGGUGGUCAAGGAUGUAGAGAGGGACGAUAUUGAGUUCAUCACCAAGACUUGUAACUGCUUGCCAAUUGCCAAUAAUGAGCAUUUCCGAGAAGAAAAACUUGGGUAUGCUGAUGUUGCCAAGGAAGUGUCUGCUGGAGAUGGCAAGAUUGUCAAGAUCACUAGCAUCAGGGACAUGGGGAGGACUGCAACUGUGCUUGUCCGUGGGUCCAACCAGUUGGUUAAUGAUGAAGCUGAUCGCAGUCUCCAUGAUGUCAUGUGUGUCAUCAGGUGCUUGGUGAACAAGAGGUUUUUAAUUGCUGGUGGUGGUGCUCCUGAAAUAGAAAUGUCAAUGCAACUGGCUGCUUGGUCAAAGGAGCUCCAUGGGAUGGAGAGUUACUGCAUCAAGGAGUUUGCUGAUGCACUCAAGGUCAUCCCUCACACAUUGGCAGAGAAUGCAGGGCUCAACCCAAUUGCCAUUGUUACUGAGCUAAGGAACCGGCAUGCCAAGGGUGAGCAGAACAUGGGCAUCAACGUGAGGAAAAGGCCAAAUCAAAACAAUCCUGGAGGAGAAUGUUGUGCAGCCAUUGCUUGUGAGCACGAGUGCCAUCUCGCUGGCGUGCAAGUGCAUUAG